AUAGAAUAAAGCACACAACUUUAUUCACUGAGUGGUGAGUGUACAGCAGUGACGCAGAGGACAGGGCGGGGGAGCGGCGAGUGCUGCUUGCAACAGGAGCGUGGAGCAGGUCAGGACCAAAACGCACAGCAACGCGGGGCCAGCUGGCUGCCCCUGCCUCUGCACACUAGUCCGUGGUAUUCAGGGCAUGGACGGACACCCACUCACUUUCACGGGGGGACACAACACAUCUUUAACACAGCAGUUCUUCCAAAUAUUCACUUUCAUAUUUUUGAAAGGGGCGGGAAGGAAGAACUAACUGUAUGUCUUCUGACACUUGCAAAAAAAUUCCAUUAAAUUGAACUUAAAAUGAAAGGACUCCAAAGAGAUAUGAUGCAGGAUCGUCGGCAACUCACAGAAACCACACACAUUUAUUAUUGGACGGGUCUGUACACAGAACCCAAGAGGAACAUCAAUAUUGUGGACAAUUGUUUUUUUUUCUUCCAUGGGAUAAGGAAACAUAGGCAUCUUUGGUGAAUGGGUUCAGAAAGUGGCUCAUGGGAUCUUCACUCUUGAGAAAGACACUUUUGGGAAGAAUUUUAUUUAAUGAUAACAAUUGCCAGUCGAUUACACCAACCAUCAGAAAAUACUGGAUUUGUUUAAUUUUGCUGGGUUUACAAUAUAUUGUUUAGAAAGUUUCUUUCAACUUAACCUGACCACUUCCCCCUUCCUUUUGAGUUUGCCAUAAAUUAAAUUCACCCGAAUAAAAACACAAAAAUCCAUAUGCAAAGUGUAGCAAUCACUAUCUCUUCAUGGCUUCCUGGGCAGCAAAUGGAAAGAGUGAUUUUUAAAGCCGGAGUAAAAAUUUCUCUUUCUUUCAUUACAACAUCAUUGGCUAGUUUCCUUAAUGUACAUUAUCACUAUAAGGUGGUGUCACAGCAUAUCUCAAGCCUGAAGUAAUCUCUUUUUCUGAAUAGAACAUUCUUCAAAAGGGUACACUAAUGAAUGAGUUGUAGGGUUUACUCACAAACGGUUUGUCAAAAGAAAAUUUUAAAGAUCAAGUCAAGUCAAGGCUGGCCUAGGGAGGGUAGAUUAAACAGUGCCCGGUAAUACAGAAGAUGUGAUUUAUAAAAACUGAGCUUGCCUCAGAGGUCACAGAGGGGAGAUUACAUGGAGUUCAUGUUCUUCCACCAUCUUUCCUGACAGAGAGAGGGCCUGCCUGCCCCUUCAAUGCGCAGAAUGCUAACAUCAAGCUUUUUGAAAGAAUUUUUAGAAAGACCUACCUAGUCAAAAGUGGUUAAUUUCAUUUUUUUUAACUUGCAAAAGCAUAAAUAUUUUAUAUAAUCAUCUGAGAAGCAAUUCUUUAGAAAAAGGUGUUUGCUUUAAAGUGUAAAGAAAUUAGGUGAAAGUUUUAUAAACAUUUCCAACAAGACUUCUCUAGGUAGAGUUGAUGGACAUCACCAGAUUGAGAGGAUGAAAGUUGCAGUGGGAGUGUGCACCGUAUUACGCAUUGACCCUGGCUUUUCUGUUUGAGGUUUCAGAGAACAGGCAGUUUAUUCUUUAGUUAUUGAAGGAGUCACAUUAAGAACAUUUCAUAACUAACCCAAACUGAAAUGUAGAUGCAUAGCUGGCUGUAUGAGUUCCCAAAUGCUCUUUAUGUCUCAUCUUAAAUCACACGGGAAGAAUAAAUGGUAUCCUGGCUCUUACGGAAAAAAAAAUUUAAAGGAAGCGCACUGACUUUCACGUUGUCAGAGGCCUCUUUUGCUUCAUGCAGUGGUUGUGUGUGCUUAAGGAAACACAAAUAAGCCCAACGCUCAAAAAUGUAGCCCUUUGGGUAUAUACCAGGAAAAUGUGCCAUGUCUUGAAGUCCUUCCCCAGAGUGAAUAAGCCCUGUUCAUUUGCCUGUGUUAACAACUGGAAUUUCUAUGUGCAGUGCAGACUGGGGUUCAAGCAGAGAACACUGAUCUCCUGUACAGUGGCCUAGACAUUUUGAGGACAAGCAUGCUGAGCCCAGUUUAGAACAAAAAUGGAUAGGUCAUUGUAGCCCAUGUAUUAGAUUUGGCAGUUAGGAGAACCAGUUGCCUCAUGACCCAUCCCUCCAGCUGGAGCUUUCUGCUGGGACUGGAGUUGGGGAAGUCACUCCAGCAUUGUUUUCCCUUGACCCUCCCCAGAGCACAGCACUACUCUGCUUGCAGACAGGACGCUACUGACAUUUCCUGGAAAUGCAUUUUUGCACGGUAUAGUUUAAAUUAGCUAAUACACUUGAUAUAGGAAGAAGCUCCUCCAACCCCCCAAGUUGGAUGGAGAACUGAAUUCUAAGAUAUAAGAAACAUAGAGUUUCAUUGGUGGGAGCAGACUUUGGGUUCAGAUCUUUAACUGUCAUUGCAGUUGUUCUCACACUGACAUUUGCUCUGCAUGUGCAUAGGUCAUAAUUAUUUUUUCUUUUUUUUUUUCCAUAGGUCAUAAUUAACCAAUGAAAACACUGAGGAUCUUUUAUUAUCCCCAUAAUGAAAAAAUUCUCCCCACCAGCCUAGCACUAGGACCCAUCUGCCAUCCUCAUUAUUGAUUAUGGGAAUAUACUGUGGUCCCCACUCCUCAUACUUUGCCAGAGCAAAGCAAGGACUGGGAUACACAGGCACUGCACCGAGGCUGCUGAUGCCAGAGAUAUCAGAGAGAAGAUGGGACAGCCGAAAUAUUGAAUUAGAGCAAAAGGCCAUGGAAGGCACCAAAUAGCAAGUUGCAAUCUGGGGCCUUCAAACGGAGGAGGAGCUGGUCAUCUCACGUUUGCCCCAUCAGAAUCAUUUACAAAAUAUGUUAGUAGGUCCAACACACACACACACACACACACACACACACACACACACACAUGCAUGCUCCUAUUUGUGAGAACAGUCCUCAAACAUUCAGUGUCUAGCACUGAAAGGACAGAAGAGGCGCUUGAAAGCAAUUACAGAGCUCAGUACAGCACCCAGUUGAUGGAGCGUGUCCCAAGGUAGAGGUCUGCAGCACAGGUUCUGACACUAUUUUUACUUGUUUUUUACCACCAAGAUCAGCUACUAACUAAUCCGAAUCCGAAUCCGAAUCCGGUGGCAGCAGGAAGAAUUUCUGAGCUUUUAUUAGUAGUGGCAUAUGAAGAGAAUUUGAAUGAUUUCUCCUUUGGCUUUAAAAUGGAAUUUAAAUUCCUAGGCAGAGCCCCCAGAGCACAAGAAUAAACGUGAAAACUGUCCACGGGUGGAGCUGGAGACACCCUUCCUUGUCCGCCUAACUCACGUGAGUCGCAGCCAGAGGCUUCCAGGAAUCAUGAUGGGGUCUUACACUUGAGUUUUGGUGUAAUCCUAGGCUCCACUAUGAAUCUUGUGUUGCUGAAUCUGCACACUCUGGUGUGUUGCUCUGAUGUCCACAUAUAGCCUGAUGUGAGGUCCGGGCUCUUCACUGUGCUGCUGACCUGAGCUUCAUGAAUCAUGGAGCAUGCUGGCUUCUGACACUGACACCCUUCCAUGAAGGAUGCCCUGUGGGGUGCAGUUUGGCCUCAAUCCCGACCUCUGAGUCAUGCGCACGUGUGCAAAUGUUCCUUAGAAGCUGCAGCCCAGCCGGACAAACAUUCAAGCAGGGAUGAAAUGUUAAAAGAACAUGCAGACUCCCCAAACUACUCUGGGUGCAUUCACUUACACACACACACACACACGCACGCGCGCACACACGCACACAUACGCACCAUGAAGUCAACAAAGCUAGGCAAGAAGGAAAGCUGAAAAGGCCAAAUUAAAUCAAUCUAAGGCAACAGAUCUUGGGGUUGCAGAGAUUUCAAAAAGAAAAGCGUGCCUUUCCUUAGCCUACUACUGAAGAGACCUCAAAAAAAAUCCAAAAUCCAUGUGGGCUGGAUCAGAUUCAGAGGAUGCUGGGUGAGGAGCAGAGGAUGCAGGGAGGAAGAACUUGCAUUGGCGGGACACAGAAUUUUCUUUUCCU
This 3945-nucleotide long non-coding RNA is filed under the name Canis lupus familiaris (dog). Its description in RNAcentral is "lncRNA (ENSCAFG00000053274.1, ENSCAFG00845030720.1)". Lineage: Eukaryota; Metazoa; Chordata; Mammalia; Carnivora; Canidae. The record is from RNAcentral.